This 400-nucleotide ribosomal RNA is filed under the name uncultured bacterium. RNAcentral describes it as "bacterial SSU rRNA". It matches the Rfam family "Bacterial small subunit ribosomal RNA", at positions 129 to 524 of the family's 1533-position model. The record is from RNAcentral.
CCUGGUAGUGGGGGACAACGUUUCGAAAGGAACGCUAAUACCGCAUACGUCCUACGGGAGAAAGCAGGGGACCUUCGGGCCUUGCGCUAUCAGAUGAGCCUAGGUCGGAUUAGCUAGUUGGUGGGGUAAUGGCUCACCAAGGCGACGAUCCGUAACUGGUCUGAGAGGAUGAUCAGUCACACUGGAACUGAGACACGGUCCAGACUCCUACGGGAGGCAGCAGUGGGGAAUAUUGGACAAUGGGCGAAAGCCUGAUCCAGCCAUGCCGCGUGUGUGAAGAAGGUCUUCGGAUUGUAAAGCACUUUAAGUUGGGAGGAAGGGCAGUAAGCUAAUACCUUGCUGUUUUGACGUUACCGACANAAUAANCACCGGCUAACUCUGUGCCAGCAGCCGCGGUAAU